GGUGGCGGCGGCGGUGGUGGCGGCGGCGACGUUGGCAGCGGGGAGCGCAGCACCUCGGAGGGGCGAUGAGCUUCUCGCUGCAGCUUCCAGCAUCUCACCAGGACCAGAACUUUAACCCCGGCCUGAGAUUAGGAAAUGCCCCCUCCCUGAAGAAGCAGAGACGCUCCCAGGGGCCCCCCAGUAGGGACGGAAGGGGCAGGGGGUGGAGGGGGGUAGUGCAGAACUCUGGAGAAGAGGCACCUAGGCUGGGUUUAGCACUUUGGGAGGGGCUUCGUCUGGUUCCCCGACCCCACUGCCCGCCCCAACCAGGUGGAAUGGGAGCAGACAGACUAGCCGGCUGGUACAGAGGAGCUGGGCCGGGGGAGGAAGAAGGAACCUGGCAACCCUGGACAAUGUUACUUACCAGGAUAUUAGGCAAACUGAAAAAUAUAUCAAGCCCACUUAUGAAAAGAUCUUGGGAGGAGGAGUAAUGUAUAAAUACAUUCAGAAGGAACCCUACGAUUCAUACCAACCUAAUUUUCUUAUUAGAAUAUGAAGCAAGGAAGGAAGGAUUCUCUACAAAGCAAAGCUACAUUUGCUUCUCCUUUUGUAAAGGCCAAUUUCUGCUGGAAUAAAAUAUCUGUAAAAAUAAUAUCA
RNAcentral lists this long non-coding RNA (636 nucleotides) under Phascolarctos cinereus (koala). Its description in RNAcentral is "lncRNA (ENSPCIG00000031249.1)". Lineage: Eukaryota; Metazoa; Chordata; Mammalia; Diprotodontia; Phascolarctidae. The record is from RNAcentral.